RNAcentral lists this long non-coding RNA (1279 nucleotides) under Heterocephalus glaber (naked mole-rat). RNAcentral's name for it is "lncRNA (ENSHGLG00100049185.1)". The record is from RNAcentral. Lineage: Eukaryota; Metazoa; Chordata; Mammalia; Rodentia; Bathyergidae.
UAAGCAGGUUGUAAAUGAGUCUAGAAGGUUUAGUGAAUUUUCAGUGUGUUCCUCGGCCCCACUAUGCAUUAGUGUGUUAUCACACAGAAAUCAGUUCCUGAAGGAAAGGGCCCCAGGGGCAGACAGAACUACAGGUUGUACAGCAGCCAUCCUGUGAGCAGCAGCGGAUACUGAAGAGCUCGCUCUAGGCUCUUGGUCUCCUUUGCAGUCUGACUGUGUGAGCCACUACCAGGAGCACUCUUGAAGGUACAGGUUUCGAGAUCUGCUGCUAGGGGACCAAGGAUGGCAAAACGACGACAGGUGAGCAGAGUGGUGCAGCGUGGUUCCCUUCACACAGCUGGGAAAAAGUGACAGAGGUGGGAGGCUGAAGGGGAAGAGGAGAGGAAGGAGAGAGGCCAAAGGGAGACCGCCACCCCGGGCGAGGGAGUGAAGGAACCUGACGCCUCUCUCCAUUUUGAUCCGCACCGCACUUGCUAUGGACAGGAACUCUUCCUUUUCACUUCGUAACUCUGGCCAGGUGUUUAUUACCUUUCUCCGGGGCUUAUUCUUUGGUCAGUCGAUGCUUUCCUUGGCCGUGAUGAUGCUGGUGUGUCAGAGGUACAGUGCAUCCAAAUGCCACGCAGUACUGCUGCCAAAUGAUGUUCAGGAUUUUCCUUAGGUGUGGUUCCAUGCAAGUUGAUGGGAAAAGCACAUUAGAAACUUAAAAAUCUCCUACACCUAUUUCCUUACACCUUGCCAGUGUUGUCUUGACUACUUGCCACUAGGAAUUUUGAUGCUGUUUAGACAUUGGGAGUUUCAGAUAGACAGUUGGUUUAGAUAUGUAACAGGUAGUUAGUGAAAUUGAUCACCGCUGCAUAGAAAAUGCUUAUUUUGAAAGGGGAACUGAAUAUUAUGAAUAAUGGUGUUUGUAUAGCAUGAUGCAGCCUUUCCACGAAGUGUAUUUUUAACCUGAACAGUAUAUAUGUCUCAAAAUUAAAACUAAGUUUCCAAAGUAGAAUAUAUAUUUCUAGCAAGCAUAUUGCUCGUGUGUUUUUAUCAGUAGCAUCUAUGCUUUAUGUAAAGUUGCAAAAUUCUUCUAAGCUAUCGCUACCAGAUUAUAAAAAGCACGUUUUGUGUUUUCAUUGAAUUCUGUGUUUUCUAGAAAAAUCGUUUCAUGUAUCACAUGCCACAUUGUCUUGUUUUUAAAUGGUGUAUGUAUAAUAACUAAGCUUUUAACUCAGUUAAGAUGUUUCCUUGAAGUUCAGUUUGGCAUUAAUGUUCUAUUUGAGUUAAAUAAAAG